Molecule: ribosomal RNA, 253 nt
Filed under: uncultured bacterium
Lineage: Bacteria
Description: partial 16S ribosomal RNA
Rfam family: Bacterial small subunit ribosomal RNA
Source: RNAcentral
UACGAAGGGGGCUAGCGUUGCUCGGAAUCACUGGGCGUAAAGCGCACGUAGGCGGCUUGCUAAGUCAGGGGUGAAAUCCUGGAGCUCAACUCCAGAACUGCCUUUGAUACUGGCGAUCUUGAGUCCGGGAGAGGUGAGUGGAACUCCGAGUGUAGAGGUGAAAUUCGUAGAUAUUCGGAAGAACACCAGUGGCGAAGGCGGCUCACUGGCCCGGUACUGACGCUGAUGUGCGAAAGCGUGGGGAGCAAACAGG